UUACAGAUAGGGGCGCGUAGCGGCUGACCCCAAAAAUGCUAUAGCGGGAUAGCGCAUAGCGCUAUGUCCGCUAUUUCAUAAAAACAAAAACAACAAAAACAAGGAAACAAAGAGAGUAUAAUAGAGUUUUAUAUGAACAAAACAUAGGAUUGUUUGUACAAACUACAAACAGAAACAUAGAGAGCAGAAUGGAGUUCGGAAUCAAUAAUAACAAAGAAAACUAGAACACAAAAGUAACAGGACAACAGAGUUCUGAGAUUGUUAAACACAAAAAUAACAGGAUAAUAGCAAACACGACAAAGUAGAGGAAGAUUUACAACAGAGGUGAAAAAGUUAUACAGAACAUCAAAAAAGCAAAGGAAGAUUUACAUAAAUACCCUUUUUUUAAACCAAGGACAAUUUUGUAUUUUCUCUUAAAAUGAAAUAGCGGUUCUAAACCGCUACGAAGCGUUUAUAUCACCGCUAUCUCACACUGCAAUGCUAUGGCUUGUUGCGUAGCGCUCCGGCACCGCACUGCACCGCGCGGCAACUAUAGUGGCGCUAUUGGCCGCUAUUGACUACUAUGAUGGAGACAAAUGGAUUUAAUUCCAAUGGAUAACAACAAAUUCAUGGUUCAACUUUUCAACAAAGGUGAUCAUGAAAGAAUUCGUGAAUGCAGUCCUUGAUUACUUGACAACAACAUGAUUAUUUUGAAGGUGACAGUCGGAGAGGACCAUGUAGCUGUUCCGAUGAAUACGAUGGAAAUAUGGGUGCAAGUUCAUCAGCUCCCCUUUGGUUUUAUGGAUGCAAGCAUAAGUGAUUUGGUUGGGAGUCACAUUGACAAAAUGGUUAAAUAGAAAAUAAUUAUGGUUCUUAGAGUAAGUACAUGAGAGUUAGGGUCGAGAUUGUUUUUGAAAAACAUCUGAAACAAGACUUUAUAUCAUCAUCUGACUCACAUUCAAUCAUGAUGUAUUGCUUGAGAGGUUAUUCAAGCACAAUAUUGACCCUAACUCUCAUGUACUUCAACUAUUGUCCUCGUGGUAUUUAACCAUUCUACCUAUGUGACUCCCCAUCCAAAUCACCUAAGCUUAUAAGCUAAUUUCUUGUAAUUCUUUUGUAACACUUUCAUCAUAGUGGAUUGGAGGGCUGAUCUUUCCCCCAGAUUAUGUCAUAUUG
Molecule: long non-coding RNA, 1155 nt
Filed under: Medicago truncatula (barrel medic)
Lineage: Eukaryota; Viridiplantae; Streptophyta; Magnoliopsida; Fabales; Fabaceae
Description: long non-coding RNA (MTRU_LNC008308)
Source: RNAcentral